This 512-nucleotide ribosomal RNA is filed under the name uncultured bacterium. RNAcentral's name for it is "bacterial SSU rRNA". It matches the Rfam family "Bacterial small subunit ribosomal RNA", at positions 19 to 518 of the family's 1533-position model. The record is from RNAcentral.
CUGGCUCAGGAUGAACGCUAGCGACAGGCUUAACACAUGCAAGUCGAGGGGCAGCACGGGAGUAGCAAUACAACUGGUGGCGACCGGCGCACGGGUGAGUAACGCGUAUGCAACCUACCUAUCAGAGGGGAAUAACCCGGCGAAAGUCGGACUAAUACCGCAUAAAACAGGGGCACCGCAUGGUGAUAUUUGUUAAAGAAAUUCGCUGAUAGAUGGGCAUGCGUUCCAUUAGGUAGUUGGUGAGGUAACGGCUCACCAAGCCGACGAUGGAUAGGGGAACUGAGAGGUUGGUCCCCCACACUGGUACUGAGACACGGACCAGACUCCUACGGGAGGCAGCAGUGAGGAAUAUUGGUCAAUGGGCGAGAGCCUGAACCAGCCAAGUCGCGUGGAAAAGGAAGAAGGAUCUAUGGUUCGUAAACUUCUUUUGCAGGGGAAUAAAGUGCAGGACGUGUCCUGUUUUGUAUGUACCCUGUAGAAUAAGGAUCGGCUAACUCCGUGCCAGCAGCCGC